This is an RNA transcript of Daucus carota subsp. sativus, 3157 nucleotides long. It is a transcript of the gene named pentatricopeptide repeat-containing protein At4g33990, with no coding region annotated. The record is from RefSeq and is a predicted model, not a curated record. NCBI's taxonomy places the organism in Eukaryota, Viridiplantae, Streptophyta, Magnoliopsida, Apiales, Apiaceae. The transcript has 4 exons.
CAACUUAUAAGCCCAAAACUAAUUUUACUCUACACACCAGGCCCAUCAUUCUUUCCAAUUUGUUGACCCGACUUUUCUAAACUCUCUGGCAUCUCUAAAACCCUAAACCCCAAAUCACAUUCAUAUAAUUCAAAAGAUAUAUGUAUGUUCAGAUUCCAGGCAGCCUGUAAAGGUAGGAUUUUCUUGGAAUCUCGAAUCGAGAAAUGUACCCAUGAUCGAUUAUGUUCAAAUGUUGCUGGUUGUGUGCAAGUUUCGUCCAGUAGAAUUAAGAGGAUUGCUAGUGAGAUUGAUUCUGAGCUUCUGUUUAGGUCAUGCAAUAAUACCCGUCUUACUAAGUGUCUUCAUGCCCUUCUUAUUGCAUCGGGGAAGGCUCGAAAUGUUGUUGUAUCAACUAAACUUGUCAAUCACUAUGCUCAAAUUCGGGAAAUAUCACUUUCGCGGAGAACUUUUGAUUUUAUCUCAAGUAAGAAUGUAUUUGCCUGGAAUUCGAUGAUGUCUUCUUAUGUUCGUAAUGGUUGUUAUCGUGAUGCGGUAAACUGUUUGUAUACAAUGUUGAUGACGUCUGAUGUUCGUCCGGAUUUCUACACGUUUCCCACGGUGUUGAAAGCCUGUGCUAACUUAACCAACGGGAGUCAGAUACAUACAUGGGUAUUUAAAUUGGGUUUUCAUUGGGACAUUUUUGUGGCCUCUGCAUUGGUUCACAUGUAUUGCAAAGUUGGCUCGUUUCCUGCUGCUCGCGAAAUUUUCAGUGGUAUGACAUAUCGCGACAAGGGUUGUUGGAAUGCUAUAAUUUCUGGACUUUGUCAGAAUGGUAAUGCUGUUGAAGCACUAGAGAUCGUGGAUAAAAUGAGAAUGGAGGGUGUUGCAAUGGACUCGGUAACUGUUUCAACCAUACUUUCAGUUUGUGCACAGAUAGAUGAUUUUUGUCGGGGAUGCUUGAUACACUUGUAUGCAAUAAAGCAUGGGUUAGAGUUCGAUCUGUUUGUGUGUAACGCUUUAAUUAACAUGUAUGCCAAAUUUGGUUUAUUGGGGAAUGCUCAGAAGGUCUUUGAUCUGAUGGAGGAGAGAGAUCUGGUCUCUUGGAAUUCAAUGACUGCAGCAUAUGAGCAGAACAAUAAUCCAGAUACUGCCCUUAACUUAUUUCGGGAGAUGCAAUUGCAUGAUGUUGAACCCGAUUUUUUGACUCUAGUGAGCUUAGCUUCUAGUGUUGCUCAAACUAAGGAUUCUCAAAAUAGUGGAUCACUUCAUGCUUUUAUACUAAAGAGAUGCUGGAUUCAAGAACAUGUUGUUGUUGGAAAUGCAGUUGUGGACAUGUAUGCAAAGUUGGGUAUCACGGACUCGGCACUAAAAGCUUUUGAAGAGCUGCCUAUGAAAGAUUUAAUCUCUUGGAAUACAAUGAUAACUGGCUUUGCUCAGAAUGGGUUUGCCAGUGAGGCGAUAGAAGUAUAUAGCAUGCUGGAAAAGUGUGAGGACAUAGUACCAAAUGAAGCAACGUGGGUGAGUGUUUUGCCAGCUUAUGCUCAUGUAGGAAACCUGCGAGGAGGGACAAAAAUUCAUGCACAUACAUUGAAAGCUGGUUUUAACACAGAUGUCUUUGUGGGGACCAGUCUCAUUGACCUCUAUGGGAAAUGUGGGAGACUAAAAGAUGCAAUGUCCUUAUUUUACGAAGUCCCGAGAAGAAAUCCAAUCCCUUGGAAUGCUGUUAUAUCAUGUCAUGCAAUUCAUGGCCAUGGGGAGACAUCUCUGCAGUUAUUUAGAGAUAUGCUUGAUGAGGGGGUUAGUCCAGAUCAUGUAAGCUUUGUAUCCUUAUUGUCAGCUUGCAGCCAUUCAGGUCUAGUUUCUCAGGGUCAGUGGUGUUUCGAUCUGAUGCACAAGUAUGGGAUCAAACCAAGUUUGAAACACUAUGGCUGCAUGGUUGAUUUGCUUGGUCGGGCUGGGCAUUUGGAUAUGGCAUACGAUUUCAUAAAGAGCAUGCCUUUUAAGCCUGAUGCUUCAGUUUGGGGUGCUCUUCUUGGAGCUUGUAGAAUUCAUGGAAAUGUUGAGUUGGGUAACCUUGCUUCAAAACGCUUGUUCGAAGUUGAUUCAGAAAAUGUUGGUUACUAUGUACUGUUGUCAAAUAUUUAUGCAAAUUUUGGAAAAUGGGAGGGGGUGGAUCAAGUCAGAUCAUUAGCUAGAGACAGGGGAUUGAGGAAGACUCCUGGGUGGAGCUCCAUGGAAAUUGAUAAUAAAGUUGAAGUAUUUUAUACAGGAAACCAGUCUCACCCGCAGUGUGAAGAAAUAUACAGCGAAUUAGAAAUUUUGACCGAGAAAAUUAAGAGCCUUGGUUAUGUUCCAGACUAUAGCUUUGUAUUGCAGGAUGUUGAGGAGGAUGAGAAGCAACACAUUCUUACAAGUCACAGCGAAAGAUUGGCUAUUGCAUAUGGAAUAAUCAACACUCCUCCUAAGACAACUAUUCGAAUAUUUAAGAAUUUAAGAGUUUGCGGUGAUUGCCACAAUGCAACUAAAUUGAUUUCAAAGAUAACUGAAAGGGAGAUCAUUGUGAGGGAUUCUAACCGUUUUCAUCAUUUCAAGGAUGGAAAUUGCUCUUGCGGUGAUUAUUGGUGAUACAUUUUGUUGAUCGUGAAGUCACAGUUUGAUAUCAUGCAGAUCAGGGCUUCAGAUCCUGAAUAUUAGGACACAAAGGAAAAUUAUCUGUUUUUGGGGCUACAAGCACAUGAGGAGGAUACAGAAGUUGUCACAUUUUCAGUUCUGAAAUAAGUUGCUGUUGUCUUGCCUGGCUGCAUCGGUGAUCAUAUUGGAUUUCUCAUCCCAAGAAUAGUGGAGGCCUUAUGUGCACUGAAUAGCUUCAUACUAAGGUACUCUGGAGAUAUACCUUAUACUAAUAUGAAGUUCUACAUCUUAUUCUGGGUUUUUAGUUAUGAUGACCGAUUACAUGGAGGAGAAUGGAAGUCUCAAGGAAGGCCAGGAGGUCCAGGACAAGUGUGGUGUCGUGGAACAAAAGCUUUGGAUGCUUUAGCAUUUGUGGUGUGCGAAUAGUUCUAUUGGUGUGCGAAUAGUUCUAUCGCUGAAUGUUAUUACAAUCGAAUUAUCAGUCUCGGUUUUAAAAUCAUUGACAUCAAUCGGUUCAGUUUAAUAUAAAAGAAGAUAAAUAUUACAA